This 577-nucleotide long non-coding RNA is filed under the name Elaeis guineensis (African oil palm). Its description in RNAcentral is "long non-coding RNA (EGUI_LNC005825)". Lineage: Eukaryota; Viridiplantae; Streptophyta; Magnoliopsida; Arecales; Arecaceae. The record is from RNAcentral.
GUCCUUAUCACAUAAUGACCACUAGGAGUUUCUCUCAUUGAUUAUUAUGAUAAAACUAACAGUUUGUAGUUACUCAGUCCAACCUUUGACUAGAUAAUUUGGGAACAAUAUAAAAUUAUGAGCAUUAUAACGAUUACCAUUUCCCUUCUAAAGGAAAUGCUUUAUAAAGACAUUUCUGUGGCCAUGAUCUACAGAGGACCCAGUAAGAAGAGACAUUGGAAUCUUAUCAAAAGAUUAAGAACAACAACAAAUAUAUAUCUUAACAUAACAGGUCCCUCCAAAACUAUUAUGACAGCUGUUAUGAGUUAUGACAUUGUAGUAACGUUAUUCUAAAACAUUAAUGCACUGAGGACUAAAGAAUGCUGAAACAGAGCCUAAGGUUCAUUUCUAGGCAGCUGUGUCUUUUUACUGAAAAAGGUGAGUGGAUCAUAACAAAGCACCAGAACAUGCUUAAUAUAAUUGAACAACUAAAAUGACUGCCAAUUCUUUAGCUAAUUGCUUCCAUAAUGUAAUACCUGACAGGACGACGAGAUCUUCGACAUCAAGAGUCUUGUUUGUGAAUCUAUUGGCGAGAGUU